RNAcentral lists this ribosomal RNA (943 nucleotides) under Spiromastigoides warcupii. RNAcentral describes it as "eukaryotic LSU rRNA". It matches the Rfam family "Eukaryotic large subunit ribosomal RNA", at positions 61 to 1023 of the family's 3401-position model. The record is from RNAcentral. Lineage: Eukaryota; Fungi; Ascomycota; Eurotiomycetes; Onygenales; Spiromastigoidaceae.
GAAACCAACAGGGAUUGCCUCAGUAACGGCGAGUGAAGCGGCAAGAGCUCAAAUUUGAAAUCUGGCUCCUUCGGGGCCCGAGUUGUAAUUUGCAGAGGAUGCUUCGGGGGUGGUCGCCGCCUAAGUCCCCUGGAACGGGGCGUCAGAGAGGGUGAGAAUCCCGUCUUUGGUGGGCUGAUCGCUCCCGGGUGAAGCUCCUUCGACGAGUCGAGUUGUUUGGGAAUGCAGCUCUAAGCGGGUGGUAAAUUUCAUCUAAAGCUAAAUAUUGGCUGGAGACCGAUAGCGCACAAGUAGAGUGAUCGAAAGACGAAAAGUACUUUGAAAAGAGAGUUAAACAGCACGUGAAAUUGUUGAAAGGGAAGCGCUGGCCGCCAGAUUCGGCCUUGAGGGCUCACUGAGCAUGCUUGCUUAGGCACUCCCUCAGGGUCGGGUCAGCAUCGGUUCAGGCGGUCGGUCAAAGGCCCUCGGAAUGUGUCGCCUCUCGGGGCGUCUUAUAGCCGGGGGUGCAAUGCGGCCUGCCCGGAUCGAGGAACGCGCUUCGGCACGGAUGCUGGCAUAAUGGCGGUCAGCGGCCCGUCUUGAAACACGGACCAAGGAGUCUAACAUCCACGCGAGUGUUCGGGUGUCAAACCCGUCCGCGCAGUGAAAGCGAACGGAGGUGAGAGCCCCUGAGGGUGCAUCAUCGACCGAUCCUGAAGUCUUCGGAUGGAUUUGAGUAGGAGCGUGGCUGUGGGGACCCGAAAGAUGGUGAACUAUGCCUGAAUAGGGUGAAGCCAGAGGAAACUCUGGUGGAGGCUCGCAGCGGUUCUGACGUGCAAAUCGAUCGUCAAAUUUGGGUAUAGGGGCGAAAGACUAAUCGAACCAUCUGGUAGCUGGUUCCUGUCGAAGUUUCCCUCAGGAUAGCAGUAACGUUUUCAGUUUUAUGAGGUAAAGCGAAUGAUUA